Long non-coding RNA from Theobroma umbraticum, 542 nucleotides. RefSeq lists it as uncharacterized. The record is from RefSeq and is a predicted model, not a curated record. Lineage: Eukaryota; Viridiplantae; Streptophyta; Magnoliopsida; Malvales; Malvaceae.
UUUUUGAUGCAAAGGCCUUUGUCAGUGUCAAUAGCUAGGCUUUGCAGGUGUCCAUUUUCAGUUUUAGAAAAAGGUUAUUCCAGCCUCUGCAAGCUAUAACCAUAGAAUUCUGCAAUAUGGGGAAGCUUGCUCAAGAUCUAAAGAAGAGAUUUUGCCACAUGGUUGAAGCCUUCAUAUCUUGCAAAAAUGAUAAAGGAAAUGAAAAUGGGGAAGAACCCAAGAUUCAAUCUUCGGAGACGGUAAGCAUGGAAGAGAGAACCAUCCGGAUCAAAGCUCCAAGGGGUCCAACGCGCCCGGGCGUGCCUAAAGGUCCCCCCGCUCAAACCAGCUGAAGAUCAUAAAUCCUUUCAGAAUUCUGCUAGUUUGGCAUCCCCUGGUGCUAAAUGUAAAAGAAAAUACUUGGUGCUUGACAUUUUAUCUCUAUAAUGUCUUGUACUAAUUACAACCAUAACAUCCUUGCAAGUUAAUUUUGUUGUAAGCUGCUCAGUAUCAGUUUCCAUGCUACCUGCUUUGGCUUUGCUUUCCCUUGGAUCUCUAUCAAC